This 274-nucleotide ribosomal RNA is filed under the name uncultured bacterium. RNAcentral describes it as "partial 16S ribosomal RNA". It matches the Rfam family "Bacterial small subunit ribosomal RNA", at positions 332 to 603 of the family's 1533-position model. The record is from RNAcentral.
CGCACCCUACGGGAGGCAGCAGUGAGGAAUAUUGGUCAAUGGGCGGAAGCCUGAACCAGCCACGUCGCGUGAGGGAUUAAGGCCCUAUGGGUCGUAAACCUCUUUUGUCAGGGAGCAAGGUCGUCCACGUGUGGGCGUAUGGAGAGUACCUGAAGAAAAAGCAUCGGCUAACUCCGUGCCAGCAGCCGCGGUAAUACGGAGGAUGCGAGCGUUAUCCGGAUUUAUUGGGUUUAAAGGGUGCGUAGGCGGGACCUUAAGUCAGCGGUAAAAUUGC